RNAcentral lists this long non-coding RNA (299 nucleotides) under Phoenix dactylifera (date palm). RNAcentral describes it as "long non-coding RNA (PDAC_LNC000492)". The record is from RNAcentral. Lineage: Eukaryota; Viridiplantae; Streptophyta; Magnoliopsida; Arecales; Arecaceae.
CUGGACCAUGGGGAGAAGGGUGGCAAGAAGAAAUAAAAAGGCUGUGUGUGCGUGUGUGUGUGUGUGUGAGAGAGAGAGAGAGAGCGAUUUAAGCCCUUGCUUUUUAGAACUGAAUAGUUUUGUCUGUUUGUACUGCACUGUUACUCCUAUGUAUGUCUACCUCUCUUUCUUUAGCUCUUGGCUGGUUUUCAUAAUGCCAAUAAAAGUUCCUUUCUCCCCGCCAAAGGUUGUGUAAUAUAACUUGUCAGAAUGCUAGCAAUUCUGGAGUUUAGACGAAUGCAAUUAAAGUUGGAGCUCCA